AGGACGAACGCUGGCGGCGUGCUUAACACAUGCAAGUCGAGCGGUAAGGCCUUUCGGGGUACACGAGCGGCGAACGGGUGAGUAACACGUGGGUGAUCUGCCCUGCACUCUGGGAUAAGCCUGGGAAACUGGGUCUAAUACCGGAUAUGACCUGCUCUCGCAGUGGGGGUGGGUGGAAAGAUUUAUCGGUGCAGGAUGGGCCCGCGGCCUAUCAGCUUGUUGGUGGGGUAAUGGCCUACCAAGGCGACGACGGGUAGCCGACCUGAGAGGGUGACCGGCCACACUGGGACUGAGACACGGCCCAGACUCCUACGGGAGCAGCAGUGGGGAAUAUUG
Molecule: ribosomal RNA, 336 nt
Filed under: uncultured soil bacterium
Lineage: Bacteria
Description: bacterial SSU rRNA
Rfam family: Bacterial small subunit ribosomal RNA
Source: RNAcentral